Molecule: RNA transcript, 1309 nt
Organism: Rhodamnia argentea
Lineage: Eukaryota; Viridiplantae; Streptophyta; Magnoliopsida; Myrtales; Myrtaceae
Gene name: transcription factor MYBC1
Exons: 2
Source: RefSeq, a predicted model, not a curated record
CCAAAGUAAAUUCGCGACAGAAAGGAAAGCAUCAGACUUGGAGAUAACCCCAUUACCCAGUAACGACAAAGCUUUGAAAAGAAGAAGCCAAGAUCCACCUCGAACCUCUCUCCAUUGCUGACUUUCCAAUCUCUCCGACACUUCUGAAUCCUAGGACAAAAAAAAAGGAGAGAAACAGGGGAAAGUUUGAGUAAAAAUCCUACCUUUGUGCACUCUGAUCUUCCCUUCCUCGGGAAAGAUCUAGUACUUGCGAAGAAUUAGCUCACUGUACGGGCAAAUUGUGAACAGGGUUUGAGCCGAAUCGGCCUGACAAUGAGGGAGGACGAUGGUAACUGGUUCCUGAAAUGGGAAUUGGAGCUUCCAUCGCCUGAAGAGCUCACGCCCUUGACUCAAUCCCUGAUCACCCCUGAUCUCGCUCUUGCUUUCGACAUCAGAAGCGGCCCUCCCUCGAGCAAUCACUCAAUCUCCGUCAUCAGCGCCAAACAACCACCACCCCCGCUGCCGCCGCACCUGAGUUCCUCCAAUCACGAUUUGAAGCCCGGUGCCACGGGGGGGCGCCACCCUGGCCCGGUUGAUUUCGCUGAUUCGGGGGAUUUGGCGUCUGGGGGACCAGCGGGCGGAGGCGGGGACGAGCCAGCCCGGACCCUCAAGCGGCCGCGGCUGGUGUGGACACCCCAGCUGCACAAGAGGUUUGUGGACGCGGUGGCGCACCUCGGGAUCAAGAACGCCGUGCCGAAGACCAUAAUGCAGCUGAUGAGCGUUGACGGGUUGACCCGGGAGAAUGUGGCCAGUCACCUGCAGAAGUACCGCCUCUAUCUCAGGCGGAUGCAGGGGUUAUCUGGAGGCGGAGGUGGUGGCAGCGGUGCAGAUGCCGCCACUGAGAGAUUAUUUGCAAGCGCGCCAGUGCCGCCCCAUUUCUUGCAUCCCGGCCGUGCGAGUUCAGAUCAUUUCUUGGCACUGCAGCACCACCAGCAUCUGGCAGCAGAGGCUGCCACAGCAGCGGCUUAUCCACAGUACCGAAGGCAAAUGGGCCAUUUUGGGUUACCGCCAAAUGGAGUUGAGCAUCCUCUGUUGCAAAGCAGGCAGGGGCAGAUGGUGCAUGGCAUUGGGGCAACAAUGUCAAUGCACAACCCAAUUCAGUCCUCUGUUGAAGAGUUGGAGUCAGUCAAGGGGAGUGGAGGGAGAAAGGUCCUUACUCUGUUUCCCACCGGAGAAAAUUGAGUUCUUGGGUAAUCAGUAAUUUUCUUCCUCUACGACCUCUCUGUCAUCUGCUUAAAGUUUUAUUUUUUUGGAUUUUGCUGGAGCUGGG